UCUGUGCAAAAUAUAAAAGUGGCCCCUUAAUAAAAAUAAAAAUAAAAAAAUUAUCGAUUUGAAUUGCAUAUAAUAUAAAAAAAAAAUUCUUGUAAACAUAUAAAUUAUCAAUAUUAAAUCUUACAUUAAAUUAAAUGGAACAAGAAAUACAAAAUAAUUAUCUUUGAAUAUAACGUCAAAAGGAACAUCAUAAUCUAAGAUUUAAUUUUAUGCAAAGAUUAAAAUGGACUAGAACUAUAUUUACGAGUAUAGAUAACUAAUAUAUUGAUACUCAUGAUAUUUAUGAACAUUAACAAUAUAUAACUAUUAUUUUA
RNAcentral lists this long non-coding RNA (314 nucleotides) under Trifolium pratense (red clover). RNAcentral's name for it is "long non-coding RNA (TPRA_LNC009346)". The record is from RNAcentral. Lineage: Eukaryota; Viridiplantae; Streptophyta; Magnoliopsida; Fabales; Fabaceae.